CGCGUAGGUGGUUUGUUAAGUUGGAUGUGAAAGCCCCGGGCUCAACCUGGAAACUGCAUCCAAAACUGGCAAGCUAGAGUACGGUAGAGGGUGGUGGAAUUUCCUGUGUAGCGGUGAAAUGCGUAGAUAUAGGAAGGAACACCAGUGGCGAAGGCGACCACCUGGACUGAUACUGACACUGAGGUGCGAAAGCGUGGGGAAGCAAACA
This 208-nucleotide ribosomal RNA is filed under the name uncultured bacterium. RNAcentral's name for it is "partial 16S ribosomal RNA". It matches the Rfam family "Bacterial small subunit ribosomal RNA", at positions 568 to 774 of the family's 1533-position model. The record is from RNAcentral.